RNAcentral lists this ribosomal RNA (413 nucleotides) under Tambja kava. RNAcentral's name for it is "partial small subunit ribosomal RNA". It matches the Rfam family "Archaeal large subunit ribosomal RNA", at positions 1920 to 2665 of the family's 2987-position model. The record is from RNAcentral. Lineage: Eukaryota; Metazoa; Mollusca; Gastropoda; Nudibranchia; Polyceridae.
AGCCUUAAGAUAAUUAUUUAAGGUCAGACCUGCCCAGUGUAAAUAAAAUGAAUAAAUGGCCGCGGUACUUUGACCGUGCUAAGGUAGCGCAAUCAAUUGGUUUUUAAAUGGAGCCAGGUAUGAAUGGAGUUACGGGGUUUUUCUGUCUCCGAGCUAAUUUAUCGAAGUUACUAUAUAGGUGAAAAAGCCUAUAGUAAGAAAAAGGACGAGAAGACCCUUAGAGUUUUUUUUCAAAGCAGUUUGGUUGGGGCAACAUGGGAACAAAUUUCCAUUUAUCGAGUAUUUUAGAAGUAAAUAAACUACCUUAGGGAUAACAGCAUAAUUUUAUAAAUAAGUUUGUGACCUCGAUGUUGGACUGGGAAACUAGGAGGUUAGCCGCCUUCUAGGUAAGUUCUGUUCGAACUAUAAUUCCC